CGCGCUCGGAGGCGGCCCGGCGGCGCGGAGUCCUCCCGGAUCGCUGCAAUGGGCAGACACAGAGCGCAAAGUGGCGGACUUGGGCGGCCACAGGUAACUUUCUCGCAAGGCGCUGAAUUCUUUCACUAAAGGGUACAAGCCCGAGGGCCGAGCUGCGCGGUGAUUGGCUGCGGUGCUCCCUCAGGGGCAGGGUAGAGGUGAUGGGAGAGACGGAGCGGGGAGCGCCACUACAGACACUAGGUACCGUGGGUCAAACCGAAGGACGACAGAAUGCUGAACCCAGAAAUCAACAAGCCACCCGGAACCAAAUGGCCAGUUCACCACCUGCCACUUGACACUCGCGGGACGAAAACUGUGUGGCGGGCAGAAGAGUCAGGGAACUAGAGUUACGCUAUGCUGAGUGGGAAAGGAACGGAUUGCCGGGUCUCUUGCGUAAUUGCAUUGUUAGCAUUCUUAUCCACAACAAACUCUUCUCCUGCUCUGAUGCAUAGAAGAUAGCAGGUCGUUUUCAGUUUUCAACUAGUCGAGCGACCUUUCCUGAACUGGAUCUAUGAAGUGCGGCGUGGCUUUAAUGGAGAAAGGAGAUUCGGUUGAAUAGACUCUUAAGGUGGCCCGGGCGCACCUCUUGCAUCUCUCCGCAGCCUGGGAUUCCUGCGCUGCGGAACAACUACUGCAUCUGUUCCAUAAGCCUGUCGCCCGUUGACAUUUCUAGGCAAGCAUCAACAUUUACAUUGUAAUUCAAUAGAAGCAGCUACUACAAAGGCUCUUUAUCCUUGCAGUUUAAUAUGGUUGCCAGGGGAACAACGCAGGAUGAAAGUGACUUGUUUGUGUGGGUUCUCUUCUGGUCCGGAACAGUGCGAAGUAGCCAGGUGUCAUUUAUAAUCGCUGCUACGAGAAUUAAGUAUUUGUGGGAGUUCUGACAGGGAUCUAGCCCAUACAUGAGCGUGGUGGAAAUACAGGAGGGUAUGGAAAGCUUUGCCACAUUUAUGUCAAGUCAACACUGGAGCACUGGAGCUGUCAGAUUUGACACAACUUCUGUAUUAAACCUUUGCAGGUCACAUGAUUUGGGGGAAUUAAAUUACGGCACUAGG
RNAcentral lists this long non-coding RNA (1091 nucleotides) under Mus musculus (house mouse). RNAcentral describes it as "predicted gene 16136, transcript variant 2 (Gm16136)". The record is from RNAcentral. Lineage: Eukaryota; Metazoa; Chordata; Mammalia; Rodentia; Muridae.